GUAAACAACUGAGCAGUGAGAAUCGUCUUUGCUUUCAUCAUUGUCUUUGAUAAAUGGGAUACUCGUGUUGUUUGAAAGGCUUCCAUACUAAAUCACACGACAAAAAUGGCAGCAAAGUUGACCGCGACGUGAACCAGCUUAUGAAAUGAUGGAGACUGACCCAGACUGGGCACCAUCCCUACAUCUGGGACACACAUCUGUUACACCGACAAACACUGCACGCUCUGCAAGACGAACGUGAGCAGCUACGGAAAGAGACACUGCAAGCACCAGAGAUGGGGGUCCAGCAGGAUGCAAACAUUGAAGAGCUGCAGACCAAGGAGGGACCAUCUGAGCCUGGUGAAAUAAACAGUCAUCAGCAGAAUGAGGAAGGGACACCUGACGCUGGAGAAGAAAGUGGUCAGCUACAGACUGAAGAGGGGACACAUGAAGCUGGAGAAGAAGGUGAUCAGCUAAUCACAGGGAUGAGACGCACAACACCAAUCAGGAUGUGACACAGAUUGUGAUUAUUGACCGUUUUGAAAUUUUCACAGAAAACCCAUUAAAUCUGAAAGCACAUGCCCAAAUGUUUUUCAUCUACAAGCACCACCACACUAUGAAGUAUUUAAUAUGUAUUACACCCAAGGGAGCCAUUUGUUUCUGAUCAAAAGGCUGGGGAGGGCGUACAAGUGACAAACAUAUAACCCUGAACAGUGAUUUAUUUUUUGAUAAUUUGUUACCUGGGGACAUUGUCUUGGCUGACAGAGGUUUUGACAUACAAGAAUGUGUGGGCAUGUAGUGUUCAGAUGUCAAACGCCCAGCAUUUACAAAAGGCCGCUGUCAGCACAUUUGAGAAUCCAUGUUGAAAGGGUAAUCGGAAAUGUUUGUCAGAAGUAUAAGAUCUUAACAGGAACCAUACCCAUAAACAUGAUUCUUCCAUGUGAAGGUGAAGAAGCCACAAUGUUGGAUAAGGUCACUUUCUGCUGUGCCCUGAUAAGCCAUUGCCCAACAGUAGUAUAGUACAAUUUUCUUUUCGUAGUGUUUGUACAAGCAGUUUUUUUUAUACGUUUGUAGAUGACUUAAACCUGUUUAAUAAAGUAUGUCAGUGACAAUUUUGAA
Molecule: long non-coding RNA, 1098 nt
Organism: Corythoichthys intestinalis (scribbled pipefish)
Lineage: Eukaryota; Metazoa; Chordata; Actinopteri; Syngnathiformes; Syngnathidae
Exons: 2
Source: RefSeq, a predicted model, not a curated record